UACGGGGGGUGCAAGCGUUAUCCGGAUUCACUGGGUUUAAAGGGUGCGUAGGCGGCUUGAUAAGUCAGUGGUGAAAGCCCGCAGCUUAACUGCGGAAUUGCCAUUGAAACUGCCAAGCUUGAAUCUGGUUGAAGUGGGCGGAAUAUAUCAUGUAGCGGUGAAAUGCUUAGAUAUGAUGUAGAACACCGAUUGCGAAGGCAGCUCACUAAGCCAACAUUGACGCUGAGGCACGAAAGCGUGGGGAGCGGACAGG
Molecule: ribosomal RNA, 253 nt
Filed under: uncultured bacterium
Lineage: Bacteria
Description: partial 16S ribosomal RNA
Rfam family: Bacterial small subunit ribosomal RNA
Source: RNAcentral